AUUGAACGCUGGCGGCAGGCUUAACACAUGCAAGUCGAGCGGAGACUUCGGUCUUAGCGGCGAACGGGUGAGUAAUACCUAGGAAUCUGCCUAUUAGUGGGGGAUAACGAAUCGAAAGGUUCGCUAAUACCGCAUACGUCCUACGGGAGAAAGGGGGGAGUCUUCGGACCUCUCGCUAAUAGAUGAGCCUAGGCCGGAUUAGCUAGUUGGUAGGGUAAAGGACCUACCAAGGCGACGAUCUGUAGCUGGUCUGAGAGGAUGAUCAGCCACACUGGGACUGAGACACGGCCCAGACUCCUACGGGAGGCAGCAGUGGGGAAUAUUGGACAAUGGGCGCAAGCCUGAUCCAGCAAUGCCGCGUGUGUGAAGAAGGCCUGCGGGUUGUAAAGCACUUUCAGUGGGGAAGAACAGAUUCGGGUCAAUACCCCGGAGCCUGACGUUACCCACAGAAGAAGCACCGGCUAACUCCGUGCCAGCAGCCGCGGUAAUGUAGUCCGUGU
Molecule: ribosomal RNA, 500 nt
Filed under: uncultured bacterium
Lineage: Bacteria
Description: bacterial SSU rRNA
Rfam family: Bacterial small subunit ribosomal RNA
Source: RNAcentral